ACAUACGGCCACGCCACCCUGAACAAGCCCAAUCCCGUCUGAUCUCGGAAGCUAGGCAGGGUCGGGCCUGCUUAGUACUUGGAUGAGAGAAGACACACUACAGCCAGAUGCGACGAGCCGGCACCCUUAGCC
Non-coding RNA from Pteropus alecto (black flying fox), 132 nucleotides. NCBI's taxonomy places the organism in Eukaryota, Metazoa, Chordata, Mammalia, Chiroptera, Pteropodidae. The record is from Rfam.